This 549-nucleotide ribosomal RNA is filed under the name uncultured Tulasnella. Its description in RNAcentral is "LSU rRNA". It matches the Rfam family "Eukaryotic large subunit ribosomal RNA", at positions 1 to 529 of the family's 3401-position model. Lineage: Eukaryota; Fungi; Basidiomycota; Agaricomycetes; Cantharellales; Tulasnellaceae. The record is from RNAcentral.
AUGACCUCACGGGGGUGGGAUGACCCGCUAGACUUAAGCAUAUUAAUCAGCGGAGGAAAAGAAACUAACAAGGAUUCCCCUAGUAACUGCGAGUGAAGAGGGAUUAGCUCAAUGUGUGAAUCAGGUUAGGAUUAGCUCCUUGUCUGAGUUGUGCACUAUAGACGGCGGAUCAGCGCUUGAGAGGUCGAGGUGUUCAUYCGAUGAAGMYCGUUGCCAUUGAGGGUCAUAGUCCUGUACUUGCCUUGUUACCUCUUGCGCAUUUGACCGACGUUCUGCGAGUCGCGUAGUUUUGUAUUGCUGCGCUAAUUGGGAGGUAGAGCCCUUCUAAAGCUAAAUAUGAUGACGUGACCGAUAGCACACAAGUACCGCGAGGGAAAGGUGAAAAGCAACCAUGCAGAAUGGGUUGAAACAGAAGUGAAAGCGCUACUGGGAUAAGGGCUGGGAAUUGCUUGUGUCAUUUGCGCGUGCUUUAGUGCUGUGCUUGUGAACGGCAUGCUUUAGUUAGGACGGGGAGAACAGGGCCUUGGGAAUUCGGCUGGAUCCGUCCAG